This 498-nucleotide ribosomal RNA is filed under the name uncultured bacterium. RNAcentral's name for it is "partial 16S ribosomal RNA". It matches the Rfam family "Bacterial small subunit ribosomal RNA", at positions 30 to 523 of the family's 1533-position model. The record is from RNAcentral.
AUUGAACGCUGGCGGCAUGCCUUACACAUGCAAGUCGAACGGUAACAGGUCUUCGGAUGCUGACGAGUGGCGAACGGGUGAGUAAUACAUCGGAACGUGCCUAGUAGUGGGGGAUAACUACUCGAAAGAGUGGCUAAUACCGCAUGAGAUCUACGGAUGAAAGCAGGGGAUCGCAAGGCCUUGUGCUACUAGAGCGGCCGAUGGCAGAUUAGGUAGUUGGUGGGAUAAAAGCUUACCAAGCCGACGAUCUGUAGCUGGUCUGAGAGGACGAUCAGCCACACUGGGACUGAGACACGGCCCAGACUCCUACGGGAGGCAGAAGUGGGGAAUUUUGGACAAUGGGCGCAAGCCUGAUCCAGCAAUGCCGCGUGCAGGAUGAAGGCCUUCGGGUUGUAAACUGCUUUUGUACGGAACGAAAAGCCCCGGGUUAAUACCCUGGGGUCAUGACGGUACCGUAAGAAUAAGCACCGGCUAACUACGUGCCAGCCGCCGCAGUAA